This is a non-coding RNA of Naganishia friedmannii, 104 nucleotides long. The record is from the annotation of a GenBank genome assembly. NCBI's taxonomy places the organism in Eukaryota, Fungi, Basidiomycota, Tremellomycetes, Filobasidiales, Filobasidiaceae.
GUCUGCUUAGCUCAGUGGGAGAGCGACGGUCUGAAGUUCAGUGCUAUAUAUAAUAGCACGGUCCUGGCUACCGCAGGUCUUGUGUUCGAUCCACAAAGCGGACA